RNAcentral lists this ribosomal RNA (460 nucleotides) under uncultured bacterium. Its description in RNAcentral is "partial 16S ribosomal RNA". It matches the Rfam family "Bacterial small subunit ribosomal RNA", at positions 338 to 795 of the family's 1533-position model. The record is from RNAcentral.
CCUACGGGUGGCAGCAGUGAGGAAUAUUGGUCAAUGGACGAGAGUCUGAACCAGCCAAGUAGCGUGAAGGAUGACUGCCCUAUGGGUUGUAAACUUCUUUUAUAUGGGAAUAAAAUGUUCCACGUGUGGGAUUUUGUAUGUACCAUAUGAAUAAGGAUCGGCUAACUCCGUGCCAGCAGCCGCGGUAAUACGGAGGAUCCGAGCGUUAUCCGGAUUUAUUGGGUUUAAAGGGAGCGUAGGUGGAUUGUUAAGUCAGUUGUGAAAGUUUGCGGCUCAACCGUAAAAUUGCAGUUGAAACUGGCAGUCUUGAGUACAGUAGAGGUGGGCGGAAUGCGUGGUGUAGCGGUGAAAUGCUUAGAGAUCACGAAGAACUCCGAUUGCGAAGGCAGUUCACUGGACUGCAACUGACACUGAGGCUCGAAAGUGUGGGUAUCAAACAGGAUUAGAUACCCGGGUAGUC